GGGUGUUGGUAACUGUGAAGAUGGGAAAUGCAGUGAACGGUCAACUCUGAAAUACAAUCAAUUGAGUUCCCAAGUUAAGAAAACAAAUAGAGGGAUGAAUUUCCCUGUAAAUAAGGAGCUUUGUGCUGCUAAGAGCAAUAACAAUUUCCAAGAAUCACAUAUUGUUUCCUCCAGAACUCUGAAGAGAGGAUUGCCCGAUUGUUAUUCUCAAGUUGAUGCACCUGCAAGAACUUCCCAGAAGUUUAGAGUAAUUGCGAAAGAGGGGAUGAAGUAGGAAGUUUGUACACCUUGCUUCCAAAUCUCUAGUAAUGAUAUUGGGGCCACCUUUGAGCCUUGAAUGUGUUUUGCUGAGGGAUGCAGAACCAGAGUUAUGCAGCUGCCAAGGGAUGUCCUGAUAUGUGACUACUUGAAAGGGAUUGCAUGUCAAGCCAGCAGCUAGUAGAUUUUCUACGUGAGCAGUUGAACACAGUGUUUGGCACCAUCUAUUUCUGGCGGUGAGGGAUGUGACAACAUGACCAUGAUCUUGGUGCAGUUCAAGAAACCCCAUGAGUGCUGCUGCUGCUGCUGAUGCAGAUGAGAAAUCCUCGACUUCUGAUCAUGGAAAUCAGUCUGCUACUGCAGCUGCAGACGAGAAAUCCUCAACUUCUAACCCAGCCGAUACUGAAUUGAAACCAGCGGAAACUGAGUCAAGCCCGUGACAAGUUUAUCAAUGUGUCAUCAGAUUGCGUUGGUGCGAGCUGUAGUUCCAAGGAUAUUCAACAAUCCUUGGUUGUCUCUGUAACUGAAGACAGUUUGGCCGGUAAAGAUGGGCCGGUUACAAAUUUACCAUUGAGAUUCACUGUGUGGUGUGUUUUUUUCCUUUUUCUAUACGAUGUUAUAAUUGCAAGUAACUUGUACAAAAUAGAUCUGGAUCAAAGUUGUUCAACUGUCAUCUAGUUUAGCAGUCUAUAUUAGCUUGAUAAUGGUUUUGAUAUA
This is a non-coding RNA of Camellia sinensis, 975 nucleotides long. The record is from RefSeq and is a predicted model, not a curated record. Lineage: Eukaryota; Viridiplantae; Streptophyta; Magnoliopsida; Ericales; Theaceae.